This 71-nucleotide transfer RNA is filed under the name Brevibacterium luteolum. RNAcentral's name for it is "tRNA-Glu". It matches the Rfam family "tRNA". Rfam says of the family: Transfer RNA (tRNA) molecules are approximately 80 nucleotides in length. Their secondary structure includes four short double-helical elements and three loops (D, anti-codon, and T loops). Lineage: Bacteria; Bacillati; Actinomycetota; Actinomycetes; Micrococcales; Brevibacteriaceae. The record is from RNAcentral.
GCCCCCAUGCGGUAGUGGAAGCCUGCAAGGUUCUCAGCCUUGUCGCGCGGGUUCGAUUCCCGCUGGGAGUA